RNAcentral lists this ribosomal RNA (507 nucleotides) under uncultured bacterium. RNAcentral's name for it is "bacterial SSU rRNA". It matches the Rfam family "Bacterial small subunit ribosomal RNA", at positions 65 to 555 of the family's 1533-position model. The record is from RNAcentral.
AGCGAAUCUUUGGGAGCUUGCUCCCAUUGGUUAGCGGCGGACGGGUGAGUAACACGUGGGCAACCUGCCUGUAAGACUGGGAUAACUUCGGGAAACCGGAGCUAAUACCGGAUAAUUCUUUUCCUCUCAUGUGGAAAAGCUGAAAGACGGUUUCGGCUGUCACUUACAGAUGGGCCCGCGGCGCAUUAGCUAGUUGGUGAGGUAACGGCUCACCAAGGCGACGAUGCGUAGCCGACCUGAGAGGGUGAUCGGCCACACUGGGACUGAGACACGGCCCAGACUCCUACGGGAGGCAGCAGUAGGGAAUCUUCCACAAUGGACGAAAGUCUGAUGGAGCAACGCCGCGUGAGCGAUGAAGGCCUUCGGGUCGUAAAGCUCUGUUGUUAGGGAAGAACAAGUACCGGAGUAACUGUCGGUACCUUGACGGUACCUAACCAGAAAGCCACGGCUAACUACGUGCCAGCAGCCGCGGUAAUACGUAGGUGGCAAGCGUUGUCCGGAAUUAUU